CCUAGGGGGGCAGCAGUGGGGAAUAUUGGACAAUGGGCGAAAGCCUGAUCCAGCCAUGCCGCGUGUGUGAAGAAGGCCUUCGGGUUGUAAAGCACUUUCAGUGGGGAAGAAAGCCUUGGGGCUAAUACCCUCGAGGAAGGACAUCACCCACAGAAGAAGCACCGGCUAACUCCGUGCCAGCAGCCGCGGUAAUACGGAGGGUGCGAGCGUUAAUCGGAAUUACUGGGCGUAAAGCGCGCGUAGGCGGUCUGAUAAGCCGGUUGUGAAAGCCCCGGGCUCAACCUGGGAACGGCAUCCGGAACUGUCAGGCUAGAGUGCAGGAGAGGAAGGUAGAAUUCCCGGUGUAGCGGUGAAAUGCGUAGAGAUCGGGAGGAAUACCAGUGGCGAAGGCGGCCUUCUGGACUGACACUGACGCUGAGGUGCGAAAGCGUGGGUAGCAAACAGGAUUAGAUACCCGUGUAGUC
This 464-nucleotide ribosomal RNA is filed under the name Vreelandella stevensii. Its description in RNAcentral is "partial 16S ribosomal RNA". It matches the Rfam family "Bacterial small subunit ribosomal RNA", at positions 338 to 795 of the family's 1533-position model. The record is from RNAcentral. Lineage: Bacteria; Pseudomonadati; Pseudomonadota; Gammaproteobacteria; Oceanospirillales; Halomonadaceae.